GCCGGACCUGACUGCUAUCGGAUUGAUACUAAGCCAUGCGAGUCAUUGUAGCAAUACAAGGCAUACGGCUCAGUAACGCGUAGUCAACCUAACCUAUGGACGGGAAUAACCUCGGGAAACUGAGAAUAAUGCCCGAUAGAACACUAUACCUGGAAUGGUUUGUGUUCCAAAUGAUUUAUCGCCAUAGGAUGGGACUGCGGCCUAUCAGUUUGUUGGUGAGGUAAUGGCCCACCAAGACUAUUACAGGUACGGGCUCUGAGAGGAGUAGCCCGGAGAUGGGUACUGAGACACGGACCCAGGCCCUAUGGGGCGCAGCAGGCGAGAAAACUUUGCAAUGUGCGAAAGCACGACAAGGUUAAUCCGAGUGAUUUGUGCUAAACGAAUCUUUUGUUAGUCCUAGAAACACUAACGAAUAAGGGGUGGGCAAGUUCUGGUGUCAGCCGCCGCGGUAAUACCGGCAGCUCGAGUGGUCGUCGCUUUUAUUGGGCCUAAAACGUCCGUAGCCGGUUUGGUAAAUCUGUGGGUAAAUCAACUAGCUUAACUAGUUGAAUUCUGCAGAGACUGCCAGACUAGGAACCGGGAGAGGUGUGGGGUACUCAAGGGGUAGGGGUAAAAUCCUGUCAUCCUUUGAGGACCACCAGUUGCGAAGGCGCCACACUGGAACGGAUUCGACGGUCAGGGACGAAGCCUAGGGGCACGAACCGGAUUAGAUACCCGGGUAGUCCUAGGUGUAAACGCUGUGAACUUGGUGUCGGGAGUCCGCAAUGGGCCCCCGGUGCCGGAGUGAAGAUGUUAAGUUCACUGCCUGGGGAGUACGGUCGCAAGGCUGAAACUUAAAGGAAUUGGCGGGGGAGCACUGCAACGCGAGGAGCGUGCGGUUUAAUUGGAUUCAACGCCGGAAAACUCACCAUGGCCGACUGUUAGAUGAAGAUCAGCGUAAUGAGCUUAUCGGAUUUUCAGAGAGGUGGUGCAUGGCCGUCGUCAGUUCGUACUGUAAAGCGUUCUGUUAAGUCAGAUAACGAACGAGACCCUCAUCUCUAUUUGCUACCCUUCUCUCCGGAGGAGGCGCACUAUAGGGAGACCGCUGGUGCUAAACCAGAGGAAGGCGAGGGCAACGACAGGUCAGUAUGCCCCGAAUGUCAUGGGCUACACGCGCGCUACAAAGGACGGGACAAUGGGAAGCCAGAUCGAGAGAUCGAGCUAACCCGAAACCCGUUCAUAGUUCGGAUUGUGGGCUGUAACUCGCCCACAUGAAGCUGGAUUGCGUAGUAAUCGUGUUUCAACAUAGCACGGUGAAUAUGCCCCUGCUCCUUGCACUCACC
RNAcentral lists this ribosomal RNA (1322 nucleotides) under uncultured marine archaeon. Its description in RNAcentral is "partial 16S ribosomal RNA". It matches the Rfam family "Archaeal small subunit ribosomal RNA". The record is from RNAcentral.